GACGAACGCUGGCGGCGUGCUUAACACAUGCAAGUCGAACGGUGAAGCGCCUUCCUUUUUGGUGGGUGUGGAUGAGUGGCGAACGGGUGAGUAACACGUGAGUAACCUGCCCCCUUCUUCUGGAUAACCGCAUGAAAAUGUGGCUAAUACGGGAUAUUCUGGGUCUGUCGCAUGAUGGGUCUGGGAAAGAUAUUGUUUCGGUGGGGGAUGGGCUCGCGGCCUAUCAGCUUGUUGGUGGGGUGAUGGCCUACCAAGGCGGUGACGGGUAGCCGGCCUGAGAGGGUGGACGGUCACACUGGGACUGAGACACGGCCCAGACUCAUACGGGAGGCAGCAGUGGGGAAUAUUGCACAAUGGGCGCAAGCCUGAUGCAGCGACGCCGCGUGAGGGAUGGAGGCCUUCGGGUUGUGAACCUCUUUCGCCAGUGAAGCAGGCCUGCCUCGUUUGUGGGUGGGUUGACGGUAGCUGGAUAAGAAGCGCCGGCUAACUACGUG
This 494-nucleotide ribosomal RNA is filed under the name uncultured bacterium. Its description in RNAcentral is "partial 16S ribosomal RNA". It matches the Rfam family "Bacterial small subunit ribosomal RNA", at positions 28 to 507 of the family's 1533-position model. The record is from RNAcentral.